CGCCCGAUUGCCGACCCUCAG
Molecule: non-coding RNA, 21 nt
Filed under: Arabidopsis thaliana (thale cress)
Lineage: Eukaryota; Viridiplantae; Streptophyta; Magnoliopsida; Brassicales; Brassicaceae
Source: RNAcentral